AAAACGACUCUCGGCAACGGAUAUCUCGGCUCUCGCAUCGAUGAAGAACGCAGCGAAAUGCGAUACUUGGUGUGAAUUGCAGGAUCCCGCGAACCAUCGAGUCUUUGAACGCAAGUUGCGCCCUAAGCCUUCCGGCCGAGGGCACGUCUGCCUGGGUGUCAUGC
Molecule: ribosomal RNA, 164 nt
Filed under: Euphorbia grandicornis
Lineage: Eukaryota; Viridiplantae; Streptophyta; Magnoliopsida; Malpighiales; Euphorbiaceae
Also listed under: 1 other name
Description: 5.8S ribosomal RNA
Rfam family: 5.8S ribosomal RNA
About the family: 5.8S ribosomal RNA (5.8S rRNA) is a component of the large subunit of the eukaryotic ribosome. It is transcribed by RNA polymerase I as part of the 45S precursor that also contains 18S and 28S rRNA. Functionally, it is thought that 5.8S rRNA may be involved in ribosome translocation.
Source: RNAcentral